GGGGAGGGCACGCAGGCGGCUGGGAUCCACAGUCGUUGGUGUUAUGAGCAUCGAUGGGGACGGAGGGCAGAGGACUUGGGGGAUGCAUCCAUGAGUUGGUUUUUAAUUGGCUUUGGUUUGGGUCAGAACUAUGGUGUUAGUGGGGACUAUAAAGCACCACCACAGAGAUGCUUGGGCAGUUGUAAACGGGAGCAUGGUCCACUCCGAAGGGCACCCGACCUAGUGAGAGACUGAGCCUUGUUAAUGUCACAGCAGAGUCUGACCAUGCAGGGGGCUUGGAGGUUGCAGGGGAAGUAGGAAAGAGUCUACUUGUUAAAAAAAGUGAAUCUUCAAAAACCACACACAGUUAAGAAACCAAACCACAUGGAACAGGUUACAGGUCACACAGAGAAGGAACAGGAAGGAGAGACGGUUGGAUGAGGUGGGAUGAGAGGACACACGAGGGCCAAACAGAGAAGGGGACAUCAAGCCGAGGCAGCAGAGCAAAGCAAAGCCAGGGAAGGCUUUCUGAGGUGCAGGGCUGCAGCAGCCGAGAAGCACAGAGGAGCCGCACACAGGACGUUGGGGGUAGGGAGCAUGCCUUAGGAAUCGGGCCACACGCACACACACCGACACACUGCUACACUUGGAAGCCUGCACAAUGUGAACGAAGUCGUUUGUGCCCAGCGCCUCUUUCCUUCAUGCAUUUGGGAGGUAAACACUCGAGUAUGGGCUCAAAGCCCUGGCCAGCCAUUGCAGCUUGCUAAGGAGCUCCCUUGUUUCCUGGAGUUUGGGGUUUAUUGCUCUGUUUGUGUUCUGAAAACACAAUACCAAAAAAGAAAAGAAAACAAAACAAAAGACAGAGGCCAGAAGUGGACAGCCAACCCUGAGAUCCCCUCCAGGUUUUGGGAUGCGGGGGGGUUCGAGGGUUUGGUACUGCACCAUAGUAAGCCAGGAACCUUAGGUCCUUAGGCCUUUAUUCUCUCUAAGGAUGGGAAGAGCCUGACCUCUGGCCUCCAAGGCUGGUGCAAAGAGCCCUGGGUUUGGAAUAUAACAGGGUGCAGGGGGACAGGAACUAUGCUUUGUGUCUUAUGGGACUGAUGGGACUUGCUCUCUUCACAGUGCUGGCUCAGAGUAGGGCAAAAGAGAAAACACAAGAUGGCCUGAUGCUACCAACUCAUCACGUUUCAUAUGGCCUUGGCCAUGGGGGCCAGAAGGCGGUUGUGGGAAGGUCCUUGGAGUCCUAGCUUAGCGCUCUAUUGAGCCAGGGAGCUCCUGUGUGGGCCUGGUUAAGGAGAUCCCUGUUUCCAGAAGAAACUUUUAGGUGGCUCCAAUUGUGGGCGGAGCCCGUGUCACGGCCAAGAGAUGGCUUUCCGUUUCUAAAUGCGCUGGCAUUGGCCAGUUCCCUGCUUGGGCUGUGCUGUCUGACUCUUUCCGCCAGUCAGCUCUUUUCUUUUGCUGCCAGUCUUCUUUUACCUACAGCUUCCACUUGCCUUCUGAAGAACAUUCUGUCCCUUCUCUCUCCACACUAGUGACCCCAGAGAACUCUGCUUGUCGGAUCUGAUCCGGGCAAGCUGGAGCCAGUAAAGGCAGACAGGCUGAGUGCUGCUGUUCUAUUGAUACUCUUGGCUGUCUUUGUCUCUGCAUUUCCUAGGCAGCUUCUAAACUGUUCAUUUUCUGAUCUAAUAAAUAAGCUAUCAAACCCUUGGAAAUGAUAAGAAUUUAAAAAAGGUAUAGCCUUAGUUUGCUUAUCUUUUCUCUCUUUCUUUGCUUUAAGGGAAGGUCUAAUAUAACCUAGGCUGGCCCUGGCCAUGAACCUCUCAUUCUCUUUAUCUCUACUUCUUGAAUAGUUUUCUUCUUGUGCUAGCUGAACACUAGGCAAAACCCAGCUGCUGGCUUCCUCAUCUGCAAAAUGGGAGUGCAAAUGUCCCGUCCCUGUAUCUGUCUGUCUGGUGCUCUGACUUCUGAGGCUGACUUGCCAUAUAACACUGGCUGGCUGGCUAGAAUGCCUACCAUAUGAAGGAAGUUAAGGGACAGUGGCAAGCCCUUAUCAUGUGACUGACAACGCAGAGGGACGACACACAAUGAGAUGAGGCCCCGCCCCCUCCCCCUGGCAUGGAGACAACAGAAGGAAUGAACUGCUCUGGACAGGACUGUGGGGACAAGACUUUUGGGGACACCCCGCCAUGGCCAUCUCAAGACUCCACUUCGGUUUUUCUCUGCAGCUGAAAUGGAAAAAAAAAAUAGGGGAAGAAAAAACAAAAACAAAAGCAAAAAUCUCUUCCAUCUCCCUGUCCUGCCUACUCUAAAGAUGGGGUUUCAGGACAGAAGACUUGUGGGGAUGUGGGGGCAGGGAACAAGGCGGGGCCAGUCACUUUCAACAGUCUGAGGGACCUGGAGCUCUUGGCCACUGGGAUCUCUGGGGAGGCAGAAGCCUUGCUCUGAGAUGGGCUCCGCAUACUCGAAUGUUUACCCGGCUUCAAGGAAGCCAAGCGUCUGGGAUUGAUUCACAGUCGUUUCAGGCUCAAGGGUAAAGACUCACAACCUCUUUAAAUUUCACUCUCUCUUGCUGAACUCUGUGUCCAGGGUUCUCUAGCCCUCUAGGAAACAAAGACAUGGAAUAUUCAGACAGUCGGAAAGCUCAAGGGUCCCCCCAGAAGCAAGCCAUUUCCUUGCCAACCCAAGCUCGCACCAAAUUAGUUACCAAAAUGCUAAGGAGCAAACCCAGCUUUCCUCUUUGCCACUGUCUGCAUGGUUCCUCACCACAAAUGUCACAUACACUGGCAGUUCCUGAAACCCAAGUCUAAAGGUGACAUGGGGCCCUUGGGUGGGGCUGUGUGUGUGUUUGUGUGUGUGUGUGUGUGUGUGUGUGUGUGUGUGUGUAGAGCCUUGCCCUUGACAUAGUGGGGUUGAAGUAACAUUCAGUGUGGAGCCUCUUCAGGCUUUUGGAGGACAGAGAUGGCUUGAGACAAGUGAGGACCUGAGGAGGAUGAAGAGGAGGCUGGGCCUGGAUGGAUGAACUUGGUGCUGUCCUGGUUGACCAGUGGAGGUAUUCUAUUACUCUGGGCUAGAGGAACGCCAGUGGAUACAGCCUCUCUAUUUUCCACAAGUAGGGUGAUGGAAGGGGUGUGCCUUCUCCUCUGGAAGGCUAUGGGCAUCAUCAUCGGCUCCCGGAUCUAAUGCCAUCCUCUGUGCUACUGAGUCAGGCCUGUCUGGAAAGUGUUGUAGAGCGGAGCAUGAGGGGCUUCAGGACACACUCCUAUUGUCUCCCUUGCUUGUGGUCUUGGUCUCUGGCGACCCUGGGAAAGCCUCCUCUCCUCAUGGUGAGAUGUAUGUGAAGUGAAGGAAGUGGAACUGUUGCCUUGAACCUCUGGGUGGAAGCCCAAAUUCAAUUUUGAGUCAGGAUGAGAAAAGCUUGCAGCUGCCCUGGGUUCUCUCCCAAAUGCUCUGGUCCCAUCCCAACUGAUCAUGUCUCCCCAUGUAUACUGUCUACCUGGGGUCAUCUAACUGCUGUGCCAUGGAGGGGUGCACAGUGGGCUCUCCAACAGAAGCUCCCCUAUCCUACCCCUUUGUGAUAAACUUUUAAUGACAUAAAGGAAAGAGAUAACCCCUGGAGUUUGCCUCAGCAGGCAUGUGGCCAGUCCUCCGUUGGGGAGAUCUUGCAGAGUGUGGUGGCCCAGUUCCAUCUACCUUUCUGCUUUCUGUUUACCUAUUGGACCUUCUUCCUAUCAGAAGAAAGCAUUUUGUCCUCUGAAGGGACCUUGCCUGAUAUCUAGGGGGUCUUCAGAUUCCCAGGAGAGCAGAAGACAGAAGCUAUUCAGGCAGAGGAUGAGAGGAUGUCUAUUUGAUAUCUGACUGUGAUCAAAUAUCAGAUCACACUGACAGCAGUCGGCAGAGGAAUGGUCUGGAUGUUGAGAGCUCACACCCAACGAAGGGCCCAAAGAGAUGAAGAAUUACAAACUGGAGUUUAGAGCAGAGGAUACCAGAGGGAGACUGUUAAGGUGUACAGGUGACAGUGGGGAGGACCAAGGGAGCUUGCACAAUCUCCCUCGGUCCUGAGGGAAUGAAGGAUGAUGGGCCAAGAUGGUAGAGGAGCCCACCUCGGCUUUCUUCUAUGACUCCUCUAAAGUUAGGGUUACAUGGAAUGAAGGAGGGAUAGAUAGGUUUGUCUGGAGACAAGAGCGUGGGGCACACAGGCCUGUCUACAGAAGCGAGGGAGGGACAGGCUCCUUGAGGGUUCUGUAUUGGUGUGGAAGGAAGGGUGAGAAGGAAGAUGCUGGGGUGAGAGAGUGGCUCUGUUCUAGAAUGUGACUCCAGAGUAACCUUAGAGGAUACACGGGUGCUGGGGAAUGCCGCAUGAAAGAGGUGAACCAGGACGAGGAAAAAUAAAGCUGUGCCCUGCAGCCAGACUCCUAGGCCAGAACUCAGGGUGAUGCAGGGGUCACCAACAAGGAUAUCUCCAUGGGAACACUUGGUGACUACACUUCAAGGUGGAAAAUGCCAAGAAAGGCCAGAAUUGGGUUGAUGUGACAGGGAGGAAGGAAAAGCACGGGUCAUACACAAAGGUGAGGAGGAUGUCUGCUCUGGAGGGAAAUCCCUACUCUUGAUUUCUCAGGGACUCAGGCACCAUGUGCUCAGGUGUGCCUCUGCCUUGUUGAGACUAAUUUUAUGUCAGUGGGAAACGCCAUUGGGCAACCUUGCCAUCCUCUAUGCCAGGGAGGGUGGCACCCGUGAGACGGUCACAGGACACCAGCCUAGGCUACCAACAGGUUCCUAGUAAUCUGUGCAUCCUGCUGGAGGCCCUAAUAGAAGAACAGAGCCUCCCUGCUCAGUGGCAGGAAGAUGUGAUGCUGGGUGUCCUGGUUUGGAAUGGGCACAGGGACACUUUAUAAUGUAUCAAGAGGUGGAGUCUAUUUCUCAUCAAAGAACUUGAAGGCUGGCUGGGGUAGCACACAUGUUCUGUCUGUUAAGAGGCUAGAACUGAGGCUCCAUGCACUUUGGGAAGGCUUGAAUGGCAGCAGACAGGAAAUAUAGAAGGAAUCUUUUGUUGCCUGAGGUCUUGGACAGGUCCAGCAAAGAAGUAGACAGAGCCAGAGACCAGAAGCCCUAGGUAAGAGACAGUGGUAUGGGUAGAUAUAUUUGGCAGAAGGAAGAUAAGACUUUGGGGAUUUAGUUCAGGUAGUAGGGUGCUUGCCUGGCAAGCAUAGGCCCUGGUUUUGGUCCUCAGCUCUGGGGCAGGGGAAACAAAACAAAAAGGAACCCCACCUCCCCCCAAAUAAGGUAACUGGCAGAAGGAAGACGAGGAGGUGAGAAUUCCAAGCUACCUCUCAUAUAAGAAAAGGAUACCAAGGUUAGACCAGCUCCUUUGGGAGUAGCUGGCAUGCAGGCAAGAUGUGUGUACCCCACUAUUUUCUACUUGAGAUCAGCUAGACGGAACAGAAGCCUUGUCUCUACCAGGAAGGGGUCAGGACGUCAGCGUGCUCCGCUCUUUGUGGGAGAAGGGCUGGUAAGGCAGCUGAUGUGUUCAGUGUACAAGCAGAGGAUGCAGGUGGUCCUGGAAUGCUCCCCCAUUCCUGGCUGUGACAUCUGACCUGCAGUGACUGCCUAUCUCAUAUGGUCACUCUUGUGUUGAGCCCCCACUGUGACUGACCGAAGAAGCUUCAACACUGCCAGACCUUUCUUCAGGGACCAAGCUUUUCCUGACAAGGCCACAGUUUCCCCACUACCGAAACAGAACGACAUGUGUGAAGCCAGACGUCGGCUGUGAGCCAUGGCGUGUCCAGAAGUUGGUGACCUAAGUACAGAGGGGUGAGUACUAGGGUGCUCACCCACGAAGAGCAGGGUGAAGAUGAGGGUUAGCUGGUAGACGGCGUGGCCCAGGAUGUUCUUCAUCAUGGUUCUCGAGAUGAGCGGCUUGUUGCGGCCGUAAGGUUUCCUCAGGAGCAGAGUCUCGGUGGGUGGCUCUGUUGCCAGGGCCAGGGAAGCAAAUGUGUCCAUGAUGAGGUUCACCCAGAGCAUCUGCACCGCCUUGAGAGGGGAGUCCUGCAACAGUGGCAGAGAGAAGACUGUCACAGGGUGAGCCACCACAGCUGCAGUACAGGACGGACCGCUGCGGCGUCUCGGCGGGUUCCUACCACAGGAUGCAGGCUGCCCAGGCUUUGGUGCUCUGAGUGUGUACAUCACAGGCUCCUGGAGCUUCUAUGGAGAACAGUAUGAACUGCCCACCUCGGUCCUGGGCCCACAGGCUCGACGGCCACAGCUCCCUGACUUCUGUAGACUCAGCCACGUCUUCUUUUAGUCCCCUCACGUUUGAAGCAACAUCCAUUUUCUCAACUCCCUGCAGUCUCUGCCCUUCAGUCUCAGAGGCUCAGGUCUCUCCUAUCCUGGAGACAGCGUCCUUGACCUCUACUCCCAAUUCCACCUUAUUUCUCAUCGUCUUCUAUCUCAAUGGCGUUUAUAACUACAACUCCAAAAGAAGUGCUCCGACAUGGUAGGACGUCUGUCAAGUAAGCUAAAACACAGGUUAUCACUAUAAGCAUGCCAGUGCGGACACUGUCAGAUCCGCUCUGCGAGGUCCAGGCUGGACAGCAUGUGCUUCGUGCACACGGACUGAAGAGGCCAAGCCGCUUCAUUCAUCUUCCACUCCUCAUAACCACAGGCCUAGUCUACAGCAGCCAGAGCCGGCCUCACCCAGAAUCCUCUGUCCCUCACCAUUGAAUCUACCCUUGAUUGUCACCUGGCCCAUGGAGCACCCCUUCAGGAAGCCCUCCCUCUCUGAAAGCCUAACAGCGUCCUGUCUGUCUGCCUUCUCUGUGCUUCCCAGGCUGUUUUGCCACCUCACCCCCUGCCUGGUAGGGCUGCUCUGGGCUUUCUUCUACUUUUCCGCCUUAUCUGAUUACAAGAUUCUCAGAGUCGGGUGUGCAAUUUUCCCACCAAAGCCUGCAUGGCCCUGCUUACUCAGGGAUGUUGGGCCAACUGAUCCUUGUCUCCAAACCUGUUUUCUUACUGGCAUCCGUCCAGUGUCCAGGAAGCUGUCAUGGCAAUAUCUCUAAGGCACCACUAGAGGGAGCCUUUCACCCACAGAAAAGAGGCCCCCUAAGCAGACAGGGAACCCUUGAUCCAACUCAGGUCUGAGCUGGCACACAUGGUCAGUACUGCAGUCACCAUGAGCAUCAUCAUUGUGGAGGUCACAACAGGCGGAAACUGUCCUAUGGACUGUGUGGCUCUUGGGGACAGCUGCACAUUAGACUCUGGGUUCCCCUAUGGGUAGGUGAUUGUGUAACCAGGUAGUGACUGAGAGGAGUCAGGCCUCUGAGACCCUCUUAGAGCUGAAGUCCCUCUCCUUCCCCAGACCAGAAAGCCAGCUCCUGGGAGACGGAGUCUGGUUACAUUUUCAGGAGACGUCAGGAGCCAGAGUGAGUGUCUGAACAUUCUCUCCUCCCAGCUUGCCUCUACCUCGGUGAAACGGUACUUACUCCACCUGACUCCACGUGUCUCAGCAAGCAGCCAGCUGAGGGCCCAGUAGCAGUGAUCCGGACAGACAGACCUCACUGUCUCCUCUACCCACUCAGUCUCUCCGAAUCCACUCUACUCCAGAGCGAAGGUCCUACACAGCCUGACUGGCUCUGGGUCCCCAGCUGGGCAGCUGAUCUCCCUAGGGCCUGCACUGCCUCUGUCCCAGUUUCUGCCAGCCUUUGGAGCAAGGGUCAGGCUGAUGCGGGUGGACAGAAGGACAUAAGGCCUGAUAUCUCUCAUUUCUGGGGCCACCUGAGUCACAGUGGACUCCAACAUCAUGUCUCUACUGCAAAAGGCUGGUGGCUGCAUGGAGGUCCAUGGUCUUAGGGGGAACACCACUAUGUCCUGGAGACCGAAGGCUGCCCUUUCCCAGCCUGUGGUAUGAUUCUCCCAGGACCCACCUGUGUAAUGCAGGCACCCGUGAAGGCCACGAUCACAGCCACCACAUUGACAGUCAGCUGAAACUGCAGGAAUUUGGAUAUGCUGUCAUAGACAUUACGGCCCCACAUCACUGCCUUAACGAUGCUGCUGAAGUUGUCGUCUGUCAGGAUGAUGUCUGAGGCCUCCUUGGCCACAUCCGUGCCUGCGAUGCCCUGUGGAGAUAGGGGCAGGAGCAUGGUAGGGCAGCCGGGGAGGUGAGUGGUUCCAUCUGGACAUUCUUACCUCUGUACAGCCUUAGUCAGUCCUGUGCACCUCACCCCUGAUCCAAAGGAACCAUCACAGUCAGAUCAUGCACACACACAUGUGUAUGCAUACACGCAUACAGACUUGGACACAUAUACAGGCAUGCCAGUGCUCACACAGCCACACCUGGGAAGCCUGGCCUCGCCCUACUCCUCCUUGACCUUUAAGCACCCAAUAGGACAGAGCUGAUCCCAGCAGGACACUGCCUGCCCCCUCCAGGAAGACCUGUGAGGCUAGGCUGGGGCUCAAACGCUUUGGUUGCCUACAAAGUGGCUAGAGAGGGAUGAGGGUUAAGUGUAUGUAGGGAGUCUCACAAGUCAGUUUAAAGUGGCGUAGUCCAAGCUUACUAUCCUCGCCUUUGAGACCCAACCUCACACCACCUUCUUCAGGAUACUCUUACCAUCGCGAAGCCCACAUCUGCCUUCUUGAGAGCAGGCCCAUCGUUGGUCCCAUCCCCUGUCACAGCCACCACCUGCCGCUGCUCAGUGUGUGUGCUGUCGAUGAUGCCUAGUGGGUAAGAGGGUAGGCUCAGGGCCCAUGGCCAGCCCUGACUGUCCCCUUCCAUCACUGCCCUUCCCAGCCUGUUCAGAACCAUCAGGCUCCUCAUUAGCCCAGGUUGGCUCAGGGCUUCCCAUUCUCCAGCGUUGUCUGCUCCCACAGUCCUUUGCCGAACUACCUAGAAGCACAGUCCUUUAGCUAACCCAGACCCAUGAGUUCUCUGCAUUUUCAGGGACUCCCACGUCUGCUUUCCAGAAUGUUCUACCUGGGAGCUCCAGUCACACAUGGGGAGGCCAUGACUGUGCCAUUUGCUAUCCUACCCCCUUGGCCUUGAUCUCUCUCUCUACAUACAUCUUCAAUGAAUUAGUUGGUAAGAACCAGAUUGAACACAACCGUGCCUGCCCCUCAUGUCAAAGCUGUAGGCAUUGCCCUGUCUCUACCAAACAAACAGCAGCCCGUGGAGGCAGGGAACAAGUUCCCAGUUAGGGGUACCAUUCCCUCUAACCCUCGACAAAGGCACUUUCUAUGCCUGAUUCCUCAGGGUUAUCCUGGCUAUUCCCACUAGCUGGCAGCCAGUCCAAAUCCCACCGUCUCUGGCUUGGCCUGUUUGGAUUCCUAUCCCUGGACUUGGCAGGUCGGUCUCUGACUCGCCUGGUUCCUUGGCCAGCACUGGGCUCCUCCGAGGCAAGGAACUCACUGGGCCCUAUACUGCAUGGUUCCCUGGGGAGCCUCCUUGUCUCUCCUGUCCUCUCAGCAGCUGGUCCUACAGUGGAACAUACUCUUCUCUACAGGCUUCUGUACUGGCUGGUUUUUGUGUGCCAACUUGACACAAACUGGAGCUAUCACAGAGAAAGGAGCCUCCAUUGAGGAAAUGCCUCCAUGAGACCCAGCUGUAAGGCAUUUUCUCAACUAGUGAUCCAGGGGGGAGGGCCUAGACCCUUGUGGGUGGUGCCAUCCCUGGGCUGGUGGUCUUGGGUUCUAUAAGAAAGCAAGCUGAGCAAGCCAGGGGAAGCAAACCAGUAAGUAGCAUCCCUCCAUGGCCUCUGCAUCAGUUCCUGCUUCCUGAUCUGCUUGAGUUCCAGUCCUGACUUCCUUUGGUUAUGAAAAGCAAUGUGGAGGUGUAAGCUGAAUAAACCCUUUCCUCCCCACCUUGCUUCUUGGUCAUGAGGUUUGUGUAGGAAUAGAAACCCUGACUUAGACAGCUUCCCUCCUGGGUACCUUCCACCCCUGGGUACCUCCUCCUCUGCCUGUCUCUCUGGUCUCUAAUGGUCUUCUUUCUACUGUCACUCAGGUGGGUGCCCUGGGUUCUGGGGAUUCCCUUCUCCUCCCCCUAUAUGCCCAUCCCCCCUAGGGCUCUAAUUGAGGCCCACAAAUUCUUGACAAUGGUUGUCGACUGCAGAUGGUACUUCUAGGCCAUCAGAGACCCUGUAAGACAUUAAAUGAUCAGCAUCUUAUGAGCUCUGCCAUGCCUGUCACCCAGGUAAUGGGGGUGGGCCUGUACCAGGGUCUGAUAGGAGCACUCUGUGGGAUUCUCUGCUGUUUCUCCACACUGUAUCCAUACACAACCUAUUUCGACUCGUGUAACCACACAUAGUACACCACCCAUUCUUACUGCAGCUGUCAUAUUUGGAAGAUCCCAGUGACCCCUCUGCCUUCAUUCAGGUCACACUCCCAAAGCAGGAGGAGUUUCCUAAAUAACAUUCGUCCUCUCCUGGCCCUUCAUUGUAUCCCUCUGCCCCAUGCAGUGACACUACCAUUGGCUUGCCAUGGCCAAAGUCAACCCCCCACCCCCAUUUUCCUCUCCCUGACAUCAGGGGCUCUGCAUAGUGUAGUUCCCUGUGCUGUCUGGAUCAUAGAGCUUCCCUCCACUCCUGGUCCCAGGGCUUCACAUCUUCCACAGCCUGAGCAAGAGUCCAGUGGCUGGAGCAGAACAGCCUCUUGCACUGUGUAGGGGUCAGAUAUGGUGCCUGUCCUGUGAGCCUGUUCUGUCCAUGGUGAAGGACCAGCUGGAGCACACAGUAGGUCCUCCAUAAAUGCUCAGUGAAAGAGUCAGGGAGUGAACUGCGGAGUCGGUGAGGAGUGAGGGUGAGCUAGGCCCUCUGCUGUGGAGUCAGUAGUCUGUCUCCAACUUUAAGAUGCAUGACUCUAAGGUGCCUAGGGAUGAUCCCAGGCAGAACUAAAAACUACACCUUCUAGCCAUUUUACAGAUGGAGAAACUGAGGCCCAGAGCAGACAGACUUGUCAAGGCCUCAGAGAGGGUAGGAGGGGAACUAAGACCCAGGGCUGUGACACAGGAAGGCUCAUUGGGGUUGCUGAGGCUUUGUGAGUGGUGACCCUCUAGUGGGGGAGGGGGAGAUGUUGUAGCCUCUGCUAUUCCUGGGACUUCUCAUCCUCUGGGUCUGCCCACAAGGGUUGGUUGGAAGCUUCCUGGGCUGGAGGAGGAAGAUGGAAUGUCUUUCAGAUGACAAAGAACAGCACAUUUCACCAUGCCAUGAGAGAGCGGACUCCUGAAGGGCUGCACAACAAAGGCUUUAUGCACAUGGACUAGACCACCCAGGCCCAGGCCCACUGCCACCUAGAGGAGGUUGGAGCAUCAGAAGAGCGUCUCACAGUCUCCUGAUGUCCCUUUCCCCCAGGGGCUUCUGCAGUCCUCCCAAGGUUGAUAAGGAACACAUCAGAAGACCCCCAGGAGAGGAGAAUCCCUUUCCCCCUCUGUGCUGUGUAGCCUAUGCUGUCCAUAGUGAAAGACCAGCCAGAGCACACAGUGAGGAAGCUGCAAUGCCAUGCAAGUUGGACUUGGUUUAGGCUGGGUUAGUUCUGGGCUCAGAAUUACCAUAGGUACCCCAGGCUUACCUUUGACCAGGGUGUGCUUAUCCGUGGGCGAGGAUCGAGCCAGCACCCUCAGCUUUGGCCAGAUCUUGUCAAUCCGCUCCUGCUCAAUCUGGAGAGGGGUGUGGUAUGUCGGUAGGGUCUCAGAGAGAAAUCGAGCCCCAUGUAGAGUCACUGGGCUCUUCAGGGCACAUCAGCUGGCUUCUGUUCAAGCAUGCAGGGCCCAUGCCUCCCGGCCCCCUCUCGAGCUUGGCCCGCUGUAGCGCCUUUGCUGUGGGCGCAUGCGCAUGCGUACCUCCCCCUUCUCGUUGCGGAUCCUCCGAUUGAAUUCUUUGCCUUCCAGGCACAGGAAGUCCUCUCCAGGGUGGAUAAUGCCACACUUGAUGGCGAUGGCCCGGGCUGUGUUGAUGUUGUCACCGGUGACCAUGCGGACUGUGAUACCGGCCCGCUGGCACUUGCGGAUGGCUUCUGGGACCUGUACGAGAGGGCCGUGUGCUAAGAGAAGGGACAGAGAACAGAGCUGGGAGAGCUGCAAGGGACACUUGACACAGACAUGUUUGAGAGCAGAAGGCGCCUGACCCUGUUGCAUGAAGACCUGAAGCUUAGAGAACUGAGCAGACCUAGUUCCCAGGUUACUCAUGGCCCGUUUCCUGAGCUCGCUGUCGUCAGGGCCUACCUCAGGUCGCACUGGGUCUUCGAUGCCCACCACGCAGAUGCAGGUGAGUUCAUUGAGAAUGUCAUUCUCAUUGUCCCAGUCAGGCUCAGGGCUGCUGGGGAAGUCACGAUAGGCCACACAGAUGGUACGGAGCCCGUCACAGGCCAUGGGCUCGAUCACCUUCUUAACCAUCUCAUCCCUGUCACGGGGCCGGAAGACACGGGGCUCCCCUGCCCCACUGAGAAUCUUGCAGCACCUGGGGGUGGGAAGGGAAGGAGAUAAAUGAGGCCCACCUACUUUGGUCAUUAAAUACCCACCCAAUCCGCUUCCCAUAAUGCCUCAGUGCACGCAGUAGGCCUGGGGUGCAACCAGGUGGUCUUUUACGAUAUUUGCCCCAGGUCCCUGUCUCCUUUGUGCAGUGUUUGGGAGGUUCCAAUUACCAAGGCAAACAGUACCAUAGAUGGGAUGCUUGGGAAGCCCUAAACCCAGACUAGUGCUUUGCUGCCUUGCUUGGGUAUCAGGCUUGCCGGAGGAGCAUCUAAUAAAACAAAGGUGUAGGCCAGCCUUCAUGGUUCCAGUCGGAACUGUCUGGGGUAAGACAGGAGUCAAUGGUCUAUUUCUCUUUUCUUCCCUCCUAUCCUUCUUGUGCUCUCUCUCUGAGAGAGGGUCUCGAUAUAGACCAGGCUGGCCUCGAACUCAGAGCUCCUCCUGCCUCUGCCUCCCGAGAGCUGGGAUUAGCAUGCACCACCACUGCUCAGUUUCUUUUGUCUUCAUUGAGGUGACUACAAGUCAGGGUUGAAAAUCUCUGGGCCUGAGCAGUGUACAAGUGGGGAAACUGAGGUGCAGGGGGAAGUGACUUGCUUAGACCCAGCCUGCUUGGGGAUGGCGGCGUGUGACACCCACAGCUGGGCGGGGGAACUUACUUUUUGAGCACAAUCUCCGAAGCACCUUUGCUGUACAUGCGGAAGCUCUCGUCAGGCAUCUUGAUGACGGUGCUCAUGGACUUGCGCACAGAGUUGAAGGUGUACACCUUAUACAGCUUUUCCUCUGGCAUCUGGCUGCGUACCGGCUCGUAAUCCUGCCUCAGGUCCAGCACGAAGCCCAGCAGGCCACACUCUGUCUUGUUGCCCACCUGCCGGGGCAGGGCGCCCUCUUUUUCUGGGGGCUGUGGAGAGAGGUGGGUGGCUUGUGCAGGACUCACCACAGAGGAGUCACGGACCUGGAUUUCAUUUUGACCCCGAGGCUGCUGCAUGGCUGGGCCUCCGGGAAUCCAGGGCCUCUGGUGACUAAGAUGUGGGCCUCUGAGACAUUUCAGGGCAGUCCUGGUUCUGGGGUUGGUCAUUAAGAUUUUUUUUAAAAUUACGAAUGGUUUCUGUUCUAGUUUGCUUUCUAUUAUGAUUAAAAAAAAAAACUAUGACUAAAAUGGUAUAGUGGGGAGAAAAUGGUAUAUUUUAGCUUACAUGUCCUGAUCAUAGUCCAUCAUUAAGAGAAGCCAGGGCAGGAACUCAAGGCAGAACCUGGAGGUAGGAACUGAAGCAGAAGCCGUGGAGAACGGUGUUUAAUGACUUGCUCCUCAUGGCUUGCUUAGCUUGCUUUCUUACACAACUCAGGACAAUCCAGGGAUGGCACCUCCCACAGUGGGCUCUCCCACAUUAGUCUUUAAUCAAAGAAAGAAAUGCCCCAAAAGCUUGGUCACAGGCUGAUCUAAUGGAGGCAUUUGCUCAUUGGCGUUCCUCUACCUAGAUGACUCUAGCUUGUGUCACAUGGACACAACCAACAGCACAUUAUACAGCAUAAAAAAUGACAGUGAUGUAAGAGAUAGACAGCGUCAGACGUGCUUCAAACCCGUUUUGAGACUGGGUCUGUCUCAUGUAGCUCAGGCUGAAUUUGAACUUGCCACACAGCCAAACAUGUCCUUAAACUCUUGAUCCUCUUGCCUCUAGCUCUCAAGUGCUGAGAUUACAAGUGUGUGCCAAAAUGUCUGGGCAGAUUUUUCUUUUCUUUUUUUUUCCUUUUUUUUUUUUUUAAAGUUGAACCCGUCUCUGUAUUUCUCAUCUGCAGAAUUUACCAUUUGACCCAGAAUUGAUCUCAAUGUUUAAUUUGUUUUUAAUCAUCACUAGGUGUGUAUUUUGGCAUUUUAUUUUAAGGUAACUGUUGAUGAAAACUAACACAGGAGGUCCUCCAGUGCUUUCCUCACAGCUCCUCCCAGUGUUAGCCUCUCGCAUCGCCGUAGCAACAGUAUCACAACAAGGCAGGGACACAGCACCCUCAAUCACAGCAACCUCACUCAGACCCUCAUGCACACAUUCGUAUUUCCUUCUUUAUCAGGGCACGACAUGAAUUCCUAGAAGCAUCGCAAUGUCUAAGGAGAGUUUACCACAUGUUCUUGUCUCUUCCUUUGACAGCCACAGUCUGCCAUCUCUCUGCCUCUAGCCACCAGUCUCCACACCUCUGGUCGCCUCAUCUCUCUUUCUCUUUUGGUGUAGAUCUUUGUACAUGAGAUAAGUCCCUAGCCCAUGUCAGCCAUGUUACACAUGGUACCUACAGGAGAGCACACAGGAUGCCAUUGAUGGAGAUUGACAUUUUUACUCAGCAUAAGCCCCUUGAGAACCAUGCCUUUCAGUCCACGGUGUGGGAAGACCUUCUUCAUGAUUGUGAUUUACGUUAGAACGUACAGAAGAGCUAUUUCUGUUACAUCAAAAAAAAAUGGCCAAACAGGGCUGGAGAGAUGGCUUAGCUGUAUAGUGCCUCACACAAAACAUGAGGACCCGAGUUUAGACUUCCAGCACCCAUAUAAAAACCUGGGAGUGGCGGUGUGUACUUGGAAUGCCAGUGCUGGGGAGUCAGAGACAUCUGAGACUCUCUGAGCUUGCUGGCCAGACAGCUGGGCAAAAUUGGUGAGCCCAUCUUCUAUGAGAGACUCUGUUUCAAAAAGUAAGGUAAAGCGAGGCAUGGCUUUAAUCCCAGUCAGUACCCAGGAGGCAGAGGCAGGUUGAGCUCUGUAAGUUUGAGGCCAGCCUGUCUAUAGUGAGAUCCUGUCUCAACCAGUCCACCAACUAACCAAUCAAUAAAUAACAAUUGAGGAAGAUAUCUGGUAUUGACUUCUGGUGGUACACACGUGCAGGCACGUGUACACACACACACACACACACACACACACACACACACACACACACACACAAUGGCCUUGUGUGGGCAUGCAGCUGUGUCUUGCUUGCUGAAAGCUUCCUAUGAGGAGGCUGACCCCCUGCUCCCACUCAGCCACUCCACAGUCUGUCUGUGAGGCUGGCUUGUGUUUGCUCCUCCAGUAUGCUCCUUUGGAACCAUUCUCCAAAUAAACACAACAGACUCGUCCUUUCUCCUGGUUCCACUCUCUUUCCCUUCACUCCACUUGCUCCUUUGACACAUCAUCCUUCAGCACCUGCUGAAGGGGCACCUCCCAUCCCAGAGGCCUAGAAAAAUAUGGGCUGCUUCUAAAGAGUCUCUUUCCCUUCCCUGGUGGGCAAAGUCCUUCUCUUCCUUAAGGACAAACUUAAUUAUCUCCUUGGAUUUGAAAACAGCCAGCAUGGGUCCAUCUCAUGUAUUUUAAUUCCCUCUUAGUUCCCAGGGUGAGCAUGGAGCCCAGCACAUAGUAGGUGCUUACCUACUGUUCGCUGAUGGCCCAAGGUGGACUAAUUGGCUGGGAACGAUGUAGGACAGUUGGGUCAGUAUAAAAUGCUUGCACAUGGGCACUAGGGGUGGGGUUAACACAUGACUGCUGGGAGUAUAGCUCUGCAAAUGCACACACUCCCUCCUGCAUCCCCCAACCCCAGACACCUACCUACCCACCUCACUAAAAAUUACCAUGUCGCUACUUGGGUGGUGAGCCCUCUGGAACAGUAAUGGCUGCCAGACAUAACCUUAGGAGAUAUUUGAAGAGGAACAAAUAGCAAUGGUAUAUCUGUGUGCCCUCUACCUCAGAAGUGGCUUUGCCUGGGUCUCAGACCAGUCCUGUAAAGGGGGCUUUUUGAAUCCCUACCUUUACCCUCCUUGAUAUUGCCCAAGAGAGCAUCAGAGCCAAGAAAAAGGUGGAUUCAAGAUGCCAGCCUGGGGGCUGCCAGUAAUACCAGCUCCAAGGGAUCUGAUGCCCUCUCCUGGGCCCUAUAGGCACAGGAUACACAUGCGCACCUAUGCAAACACAUAUGCAAAGCCAGCCAUGGAUGCACAGAAAUAAAACACGAUAAAACCUAAUUUAAAAAGAUGCUAGUCUGUGCCAGCAGCUCAGGGUUAGGGUGGCCCCCUCCAUUAUUGGUGGGGCAUCUUUCUGGCUUAUUCUCUACUCUUGAAGCCCUGGUGUAGGCCUGGGAAGCAGACUAGUGUUAUGCGGAGAUAUAUACAUUGACAGUGACCCCCCAAGACCUAUGGAUGCCAAGAAGGAUAGAACAUUUCAAACAUGCGCAGUUUCCCCAUCUGUAAAAUGGGGGGAUUGGAGCAGAUGAAAAACAGCAGUCGUCUCCACAUCAGCAGGUCGUAGUGCAGGCCGGUUGGACUGAGCGGCAGGUUCCUCAGCGGCUGACCUAGCGCCUGGGGCAGGCACGGGGAUCAGAACAUCUGGCCACCUCAGCCCUGCACCUGAGACUCAGCAUCAAGUGUCUUGGAGCCACGCAAGGUCAUGGGAGGCAGAGACAUCUGUGAGACAACUUCUCAUUGAAAAUGAAUUUGAGAUAAGAAAUUCCAAGAACAUCCCUUUGGCUCGCUAAAUGCAGUUAUGCUGUACUUCAAAAACUAAUUUUAUAACUAACUUUCUGGUGAUUUCAGAGUUUUAUGUGUUUUCCACAGCAGCCUUCAACCCCUCUGCUAAUGAAAGAAAAUGACGAUAGAGAGGCCUUAAAUAAAAAUACCUAAUUACUUAUUUGCCCAAGAGAGCUGAGCAGUCAUGCCUGCCAAGCACCCAGCAUUUUAUUACCCUCUGUGAAAUAUUUUAAUUUUCCUCUAAAAGGAUUUCAAACAAUCCAGUGUUGCAAAUGGCAGAGCUGCCUCCUCCGUAAUUCAAUUUGUUUCUCUGAACUUGAGCUCUGAAAUCGCCUACAUGCGUUAUUAAGAAGCAGCUGCCCUCCCCUCUUCGCUCCUGACUUUUUUCUUCCUGACAAACUCCUGGAGGCUUUGCUCCUGAGUUCCAGCUGCAGGAGGUGUCUGCCCUGUGGGGCUCCUGUUCUGGGGCUGGGACUGGAACUGCUUGGAGGGAGGGGCUUCAGCUCCCUUCCCCCCUCCCCGGGGGAGGGGGAAGAAAUAAGAUGCUCUUGCUACACACCCACUGAAGCCAGGCCUGGAGCUGCUGCAUGCAUUUCGGAUCAGUUCAGAAUCCCCCUCCUGUGCCUCCUUUCUGCCCUCCCCUCUGCGCACACACACACACACACACACACACACACACACACAAACACACACACACACACACACACACACACACACACACACACACACACCAGCCUUGGGUGUUAAGGCCCUGAGCCAUGCAGGGUGUAGCCAUGGGCCUAUCAUAGCUGGACCAAUGAAUGCUUCUGUCUUUUGGUACUGGGGAGUGGAGUGAAUUCAGUAAAAAUCAAUACAAGCUGAUUUGAAGAGCUACAAACAAUAAAUACAGUUAGGCAAACAAUGGGAUUAAAGGUCUGGUGAGAGGGCUCAGCUGGUAAAGGUGCCUGCUGCCAAGUCUGAAAACCCAAGUUCAAGCCCCAGAAGCCACAUGGUUGAAGGAGAGAGCUGACUCCACAAAGCUGCCCUCUGACCUCAGCACGUAUGCUAUGGCAGGUGCAGACCUGCACUCACACACAGCACGCACUUACACCCAUAAAUAUAUAAAGUUAAAACCAAAUAUCCAGCAGGCAUCACCUCACACCCAUUAUGAUGCUUCUAUUCAAUGACAGAAGCUUCCAGACAUGACACAUGUUGGCACGGAUGUGAAGUGUUGGUAGGAACAUGAAACAGACCCUGCAGAAAGCCGGAAGCCCCCGAAACACUUGAUCUAGAGAAACGGUGUCACACAGCAAAGUGUACCUCUGGCCACCUUAAAACAAUGGCUGCCAGGGACUCAAAGAGACCUUAGUGCAUUCACAUCCAUGGCAACUGAGCCGUGGAAGCAACGGGCAGCUGAAUGGCCUACACACAAGGAAUAAUACCGGUCUUAAAUAGGAAAGGCAUUCUGACAUCUGCUAUUACAUGGGUGAAGUCGAGGACAUUAUGCUGAGAGAAAUAAGCCAGACACGAAUGGUCUGAUCUUAAGAGGCGUCAACUCCUAGAGAUGGAGUUCUGAGCAACUGUCCAGAGCUCAAGGAGAGGCGACAGAAGUUGCUGUUAAUGUGGUCAGAGGUUCAGUUUCGCAAAAGGACAAGUGUAUGCAAGGGCUACAGCCAUGGAAAUGCAUGUAAUCCUACUAACACAUGUGCUUACAGAUUGAAAGGUCAGGAUGGCUAAAAUGGUCAGGUCUCAUGGUAUACGUGUCUUAUUACAAUGAAGCAAAACACCCAAGCACAGUCCAUGGUAACCGCUGAUUUGAGUAUUAAAUACCCACUAAGGGUCAAAAACCGUCUUAGAGGCUGACACUGUUAGGAGGUAGAAUCUUUAAGAGGAGUAGAAUAAGUGUCUUAGAGUCACUGAGUGUCUCCCAAAGGGAGACAUUCUAGGAUGCUAGUCCCCCACUCCUGCUCUCUUUGGCUUCCUGCCACCAUGGUGACGGGCUUUCUCUGCCACAUGCAUAUCUCUACCACGAGAUGUGGCCUCACCACAGGCCCAAAGCAAAGGCCCCACUGAUCACAGACAGAAACCAACCAAAACACCUAUCCCUUGCUCCUAGCUGGUUUCUCUUGGGCAUCUGUUACAUAGACACCGAGGUUGAUCAAGUGCAAUUUGGUUAUUUCCACAUGACUGGCUUCCUGGGACUAAAACAUCAUCCUCAAGGACAGACACUGGCAAUGAAAAGCCCCUCCCUCGCCAUGUCUGGAUUAGUCACCAGACAUGGCCAUUUUACUCCAAGUUGCCUCUGUUUUCUGCUGAACCAGUUGCUCACAGGCCCCUCAGGCUGCAUCCUCAUGGCUCCCAGGAGACGGAGCGUCUAUCUCCACUUUACAGCUGUGGGCUCUGAGGCCCCAGGAGGACAUGUGGAAUUGCUCACAGGCAGUUGAGCCAGGACCUGUCCCUGGAUCUGUACUCACAACUGUUGGUGGCUUCUGUCUGGAACACUGUCACUGAAGUGACAGUCAGGGGGAUCGUACACUGGACUCAUUUCUGCCUGCUUCCAGCUUCUGGGCCAGCCAGAGACCAACUAUACAGUUAAUUGAUAAAUGUACUGUCUGUGUGGAGAAUUGCCAACAAGAGACGAGAUAGGGUGAAUUUUGGCACAAUUUGUCCUCCAGGAUUGUCACCUAAGGGCCUGCCUUCCCAAGAGCUUCUCAGAUACCAGGUUUCUUGAAGAAAGCAAGGAGACUAAGCCAUCCAGUGAGCCACACCCUCGAGCCACGAGAUCUCUCUGAGAGGCUGGGGAACAGGAGGAUGAUCAGGUGUCCAGGACACAAGAGUCCCUGUGACGUGGGAAACAAAAUCCAUGGGAACCUUCCCAAGCUCCUUAUGCUGUGUAUAUAUUGCUCAUGUGUGUGUAUUGCUCAUAUGGACUGAGAUCUGCCAGUGAAUAGCGUGUGGUGUGUUUUGAUGGUAUAUAGUAAGUACAUGUAUGUAUGGUGCACGUAGUGGCUGAGAGAGGUGUUAUAUAUUACAAGUGAGUAUCAUGUGUGCUUUGUGCUACGUAGUAUGUGUAUGCUGUGGAAUGUGUGUUGUAUGUGGUGGAUGAUGGUGAUAUAUAUAUAUAUAUAUAUAUAUAUAUAUAUAUAUAUAUACACAUACACACUGUAUGUUGUAUGUACCAUGUGCUAUGAUGUGUGAGUGGCAUGAGUGUAUGGGGUAGAUAGAGUUCAUUCUAUGUAUGCUGUUCUUUGUGAUGCGUUAUAUGGUGUUGAAAGAAAAAUGAAUUAUGUAUUGUAUAGAAUUUGUUGUGUGUGCUGUGCUGUAAGAUAUGCAUGUGAUGUGUAUUACAUGUUAUAGUAUCCUAUGUUAUAUGGAAUAUGUAGCAACAUGUAGUAUGUGUCUUGGCAUGAGAAUGUGUGCUGGUCUGAAAUGUGUACUAAUGUGAGGUAUGUGCUUGUGUGUGCUGGUGUGAGGUAUGUGCUGGUGUGUGCUGGAGUGAGAUGUGUGCUAGUGUGAGUUUUGUGCUGGUGUGAGGUGUGUGCUUGUGUGAGGUAUAUGCUGGUGUGAGGAAUGUGCUGGUGUGCUGGUAUCAGGUUCUCCUGGUGUGAGGUGUGUGCUGGUGUGUGCUGGUGUGAGGUAUAUGCUGGUGUGAGGUGUGUGCUGGUGUGAGGUGUGUACUGGUGUGAGGGUUCAGGUUGCAUGUGUAGUGUGGGGCACAGGCCAAAGGGUAGGAUGCUGGGAUUACUAGCUCUGUCAGAACUGGGCUCCUUUCCUCUUGACGUCUUUCUCCAGAGGUCCUGUUUGUAAAAGAUGAAAACAAGUAUUGCUACUGAGUUUAAUAUGGGGUCUCUUGUUAUUUCACCCACUCCAAGCUGCCACCUCCUUCAUGCCUGCAAAGUUGGUUUCUCCACACUGAAGAGGUCUUGGCCAGAGUCUGGCUGCAGCAUGUGGUCUGACUAGAAGCUGUUAAGACUCCCUGAAGAUAGACUGAACCCUGGCUUUGAAGCCGGGACCUCAAGGGCAUCUCCACUUCUCACAGGCACGUCACUCCCUCAGCCUCCCUAUCCUCAGCCUGGCCCCAUGACUGAUACAAUCAACAGAACCUUUCUACCUUGUAGGUAUAUUCCUCAGGCUCCCUGGUCAGGUGGCACAAUAACUACCUUCAGAACAGGCACCCCAGGAACCUGGGACUUCUAACAAGGCACAACUGGGCUCAUCUGUUCAGAAACUACUUGUCAGGGCUGUGCUCCUUCCGAUUCAGGUUGUGUUCUGGAGAGAUUAAUUUUCUCUCCGUAGUUCAUGGAGGCUCUGGGUUCUCACAUGGCUUUAGCUCCACACACAGCCACCCUCUGUGUAAUAUUCAAAUGUUAAGUAGCAGGCCUGUCAGGAGCUUCCACUAAGGCAGGAGUGAACGUGGGCGGAAGAGCGUGUCUUCCUGAGAAGGCAGAGAGCUGUUUGAAUGGGAGGAAAGCCAUUUCCACUGGAACACUUGGCUGUGUCUCUGAGAAGGGCAGGGUGACAAGAAGCCAGAAGUCUUGAGGUUCAAUGAGCUGGAGACAGGAGAGGCAAAGGCCUGUGUGUAAAGAGCUUUCAAUAGGAUUUGUGAGGCAGGGAAGCAAUUUGUGACAAAAAGGUGACUCAUGCAGCUUUCCUUGGAGGUAAAGUCUAGAUCAUAACCAUGCACGGUAAGAGUGGAAAGAAAAUGCCCCCGUUUUCUGAAGCGAUGGUGCUUGAGCUUGAGGCUGGCCUGCAGGAUCUCUCCCAGCCUCUCUGCCUGCCACCUCAGCCCUCAAAACCCUCCACCUGUGCUUCGGUGGGUCUCCUGAGGAUGAGGGGUUGGGGAGACUAUCAGAGGCUCAUCUGUGGCCUAAUACCCCAUCUCUCACCAUGUUUCCAGAACACGUUGAGUAUCUCUAGAUUUGAGGGUCUCUGUGGAGCUGUAUUUCCCUGGAAUGCCAUGGCCCCUCUGCCUCUCAGAGGUUUCCUUUGGAUUCUCUGGGGCCCUCUGCUAUGUGGUGACCAGGAACCAUUGUAAACCUCUGAUCCUUGUCUUAAGACCUUCUAGAGUCUAGGACUACGGGUGUGAGCAUCACAUCUGUUUCAUGCAGUGCUGGGGAUUGAAUACAGGGCUUCCUGAGUGCUAGGUGAGCAUGUAGAGAGAGAACUUCUUAUGUGAUGUAUGGAAGCAUCUCCUAUCAAUAAAAUGCUGUUGGCCUAUUAGCUUACACAGGGAAUAGGGAGGUGGAAAUUCCAGUACACAGAGAGGAUUUCUGGGAUAUUCACAUGUGGGAGAGAUUGGCCCCAAACUCUGAGGAAGACGGUCACAUGAACCUGAGGAGAGGUAACCGACCACGUGGUGGGGAUUAGAAUAGAAUAAACGGGAUAAUUGAGUUAUGAGCUAGUGGGAACAAGCCAAAGCUUUUGGCCUAGGCAAUUAUUCAUAAAUAAUUCACUCUCAGAGUCGUUAUUUCAGGAACUCAUGUGCGGGUGGAAAAGCCUGUGGUUACAGGAGCACUCCACCAGUGAGCAAUACCACCCGAGGCUCUGCUUGUUUGGUUUCUAAAGAAUAAAAGAUACAUGCAAACCAAGAGGUCUCUGGGUCACCGAAGGUGGUUUUGGAAGAGUCCAGUUCAGCAGCCGGGAGGCAGCAAAUUGAGUCCUAGUGAGGACAGUGACCUCCUCCUGAGGUCAGUAUCUGCCUCUUGCUGCCAUGGAAAGAAGUAUGGGGAUGUUACUGAGACUGCCACAUUCCCACAUAAUCACUGGCCAGUGUAGCCAUCCACCUAUGCACUUCCACCCCCCUGUGCACAUUCUUCCUCACCUCCAUCUAUCCAGUCACUCACCCAUGCUCAUCCACCCAUCCAUGUUUUACAUUCACUGAUUCCUACCCAUCAGUCCAAUCAUCUUCCCACCUACCUACCCACCUACCAUAUCCAUGUAUCCAUCCAUCCUUAUCCAUCUACCCAUAUCUACCCAUCUACUUACCUAUCCACCCACAUCUCUGUUCCACUAACUAUGCACUUAGAAUAACCCAUAUCUAUUUACCCAUCCUCCUGCCCAUCCAUAUAUCCAUCCACCCACCUAUUCACCCAUCUGUCUCCAUCCAUCCACCCACCCAUCCAUCCACCCACCCGUAUAUCCAUCCACCCAUCCACCCACCUGUAUAUCCAUCCAUCCAUCCACCCACCCACCCAUCUGUCCACCCAUCUAUUUGUAUACAUAUGUCCAUCUAUCCAACAGUCCAUCCAUCUGCCUACCAUAUCCAUCCAUUCAUUCCCCACUCAUAUUCAUCAAUCUACUCAACAUCCAUCAAAAUCCAGCCAUCCCUCAUCUGUCCACCCACAAUCUUCCAUCCAUCCCUACCCAUAGCAUCACUUUCUCCCUCCCUCUCUCUCCUUCACCACACUGACCACACAUUUAUUUACUUAUGAAGUCAUUUACUCUACCCCCUUCUAGUAUUUCUCAGACGUCUAUUCCAGUGGCCCAGAGGUAACUUAAUUGCUGCUCACUGUCGAGGAGCACACAGCCCUCAGGAGACAUCACGGACACAGAACAGCUUUUCACACAGAGGGUUAAACGGCAUGUAGGAGUCAUGCCCUGGCCAGAGCCCUGUGUCCUUGGCCACGCUUUAGUCCCAGUCCCAGUGGAAAGAAACUGGAUCUUUCCUGUUAUUUUCUUUUGCAUGUUUCAGCCUGUCCUUCAGUUUGGAGUACCAGCCUUGGCUUGCAGGUAGAUGUGCUGGGUAGUUUUAACUUGACAUGCGCAGUGUCAUUUGAGAAGAGAAACUUUUCAUGUCUUUGUUCUCGUGUUUAAGAGACUGGGUUUCUCUGUGUAGCUCUGGCUGUCCUGGAACAAGCUCUGUAGACCAGGCUACCCUUGAACUCAGAGAUCCAUCUGCUUCUGCCUUCCGAGGGCUGGAUUUAAAGGUAUGUAUGCUUGGGAAGAGGGACUUUCAAUUUCUAUGAAAUUUCAAAUGCCUUCAUAAAGUUGGCCUACAGGCAUGUAUGUAGUGCACUUUCUUAAUGAUUAAUGUGGGAAGGCCCAGCACAUGGUGGGUGGAGCCACCCUUGGGUUGGUGGUCCUGGGUAAUAUAAGAAAGCAAGAUAAGCAAGCCAGUGAGGGGCACUUCUCCAUGGCCCCUGCAUCAGUUCCUGCCUUGGCUUCCUUCAGUGGUGGACUGUUACCCAGAAGUGUAAGCUGAAUAAACCCUUUCCUUCCCAAGGUCAUAGUGUUUUAUCACAGCAAUGGAAACCAGUGAAGACAAUGGACUUCUAUCUCUUCUUGGGGUUCACCUGGACCAGGAAAAGAACUCCCAAGAUACCCUUAGUCUUAUGUGGAUAGAAGGGCCCGGGUGUGAAGCUGACUCUCUGGACUCCAGGCCUUUCCAAGCCCAGCACAGGGGGUUGGGGUAUGUUGGUUGAGUCUUCUGAUUUGGGCCUUCUGAUGGAGCAGGUAUCUUUAGGGCCUGGCUUUGCCUCUAGCUGCCUGUCAGGCUUUGGGAAAGACCCCUUUCCUGACUAGAGCAAUGCCCAGUGCCUGAUUGUUUCUCAGCCUCUGCUUUAUUACCAGUGGAGUCUUCUUAGCAAGGUGAUUCACUGAUGAAUCAAGACAGCAAUUCUACCACAUGCCAACCAUAUGCCAGGCCCUGAGCUGGCACCUGCCACUCACAAACCCGCUGCCUACCACAAUCCAAUUCCCCCCUGAGGAACCGAGGAACAGAGAAGUUGAGUAACUUUUUUCAUUUACACAGUUAGGGAGGGAUUUGAAGCCAGGCCAGAUCAGCCAUAUUAACCCCUACCCACUUAUACCAUUAGCUCCUAAGCUAAUGGAUGUUGUUGGCUUAUGGCAAAGAGAACUGUAUGCACAGAGAGCAUUGUUUUGGAAAGAGCCAGAAAGAGGCACAGGGGUCGUUGGGUGCCAAGCUUUGUGACAUAGCAAGGGAACCUGAUGCUUAAGAGGUAUGUGUCCUUCUGACGUGUUACAAACCGAGUGCCCCAGAUCCUGGCAAGUCUGAAGACAUUCUAAAGUAGCUCUCCCCAACCUUCCUAAUGCUGUGUCCUUUAAUACAGUUCUCAUGCUGUGGUGACUCCAAACAUAACACUAUUUUUAUUAAGACUUCAUAAUUGCAAUUUUGCUACUGUUAUCAAUUGUAAUGUAAGUAUCUGAUAUGCAGGCUACCUGAUAUACGACCUUUGUCCUUCAGUCCCCAAAGGCAUUGUGAACCAUAGGUAGAGAACCUUUGUUCUAAAGGCACACAUGUCCCUCCCUUUGGCUUAUGAGACUAUUGAAAGAUGUUAAGAAACUGGAAAUUUCCCUGGGACUCUUAGACUGUGAGAAGAAAACAGCUGAAGCCCAUUGCUAGCCUGGGGUGGGGGCUAGGGAGUGGGUGAGGUGGUGUAGUUUUCUGAAGAAGAUCUCAUAACGUUCUGACUGGAGCCCAGACAAUGAUGGAUCGGUGAUGGGGGGUGCUGGUGGGGAAUGACACCCUGACGAGGGCUGCCUAACUAUGAAUACCCCUUGCCUUCUUUUUAAACAAAGCUCAUGUCAGGGUUUGGGGUAGGAGUGGGUCUCCUUUUGUUCCUCUUCCCAAUAUGGCCAUAUUGAACGAACCUCCCCCUUCUGCUUUCCUCUAUUAAGCUUGUCUUUGAUUGGACUACUGAGGAUGCGUGGGCAAACCUGGCUUGUAAGGCUGUCAGUAUGUAGACUCUGGCCUAGCCUAGCUAACAUGGCUUCUUCCCCAGCCUCAGCAGCUGCACCUUCACCCUGGGUAGACUGUUGACCUCUGACCUUGAUGCCACCUACACACAGCAGCCCAUCUUAUCUGAAGACACCACCAGAGUCUCCUCCAGCCUCUGCAUCGAGCUCCAUGGGGAUUCAUCACUGGAGCCGGACGCUUUCCUGCAAUCUUCUAGACAGAUCCCCAAACUCCCUCUGACUAGUAUCUUACUCCAAGCCCAACGUGGCCACCCUCCACCACCCUGCUCUGGGACUGCUGCUCCUCUCUGCCAAAUCUGCAGGACAAAAUCAUCAACAGUGUUUCAUUAUUCUGCACUGGGAACAGAAUAAAGCAUCACUGAUCUCCCUUGCUUCUGAAUUGGGGGAAAGGA
Non-coding RNA from Rattus norvegicus (Norway rat), 25977 nucleotides. NCBI's taxonomy places the organism in Eukaryota, Metazoa, Chordata, Mammalia, Rodentia, Muridae. The record is from RefSeq and is a predicted model, not a curated record.